UGAGUACCUGCACUUCUCUGGAUGAUUAA
This 29-nucleotide non-coding RNA is filed under the name Rattus norvegicus (Norway rat). Lineage: Eukaryota; Metazoa; Chordata; Mammalia; Rodentia; Muridae. The record is from RNAcentral.